Molecule: ribosomal RNA, 355 nt
Filed under: uncultured alga
Lineage: Eukaryota
Description: partial 23S ribosomal RNA
Rfam family: Bacterial large subunit ribosomal RNA
Source: RNAcentral
GCUUGACUGUAUCCUGGAAUGGGGUUCGGCUUUUCUUGCGCAGUCUAGUGGGAGGCUUUGAAGGUUUCCUUCGGGAAAUUGGAGCCAUCAGUGAGAGACCACUCUGGAAAGGCUAGAAUCCUAAUAGUGAUCCUUGAAUCAGGACACUUGACAGUUUCAGGUGGGCAGUUUGUUUGGGCGAACGCUUAAAGUACUAAGGCGUGCAAAGGUUCCCUCAUCUGGACGGAAAUCAGAUGUUGAGUGUAAAGGCAUAAGGGAGCUUGACUGCAAGACCUACAAGUCGAGCAGGGCGAAAGCCGGCCUUAGUGAUCCGACGUGCCGUGUGGAAGGGCCGUCGCUCAACGGAUAAAAGUUA